This is a long non-coding RNA of Beta vulgaris subsp. vulgaris (sugar beet), 713 nucleotides long. RefSeq lists it as uncharacterized. Lineage: Eukaryota; Viridiplantae; Streptophyta; Magnoliopsida; Caryophyllales; Amaranthaceae. The transcript is spliced from 2 exons. The record is from RefSeq and is a predicted model, not a curated record.
UACUCAUUGCUAAGUUAUGAACCCUUAAUCAUGUGUUGACUAAUAUCCCUUCUUUUUGAGCCACAGAGUGAUUCUGGUGAAUUUCCUGAUGCUUUAUUUGCCAACUACACACCCCAGCUUUGUACUGCUCUCAGUGUAAGGUGAUGGGCGGUGCAAGGUGUCCAGCAAGGACUAGCUGCCAAAUUUAUCUGCUAAUUCCUUUGCUGGGAUUGGAUGAGGAGCGAUUGUAAUGGCUUGUUCCUGAGUUAACGACUUUUGUUGCUGCCUGGUCUCCUUUAUAUCAUGAUAUCUGGGUAGGUUGGGUCUCUUGGUGGAUAACAAGUUACAUACAAAACUACUGUGUUGGGUCAGACGGUCAGUUGUCCGAUGGUGAGGUUUGUCGUAGUUUUCUUCUUGGUUGGCAGCUGUUACCGGAAGAUGGCUGGAAUUAGAGUUCUCUCUGCUGGAUUCUAGUGGUCGAAUUCCGGAGGCUUUAGCUGGGAGUUGCAAAGCAUUGGACUGCAUAUGAAGUGAGAAUAUGAAUUGCCUCUUGAUAUAUAAGGGGUUUAUCUCAAUAAUCGUCAGGAAAUCUGAUGACUUAUGUUUACUUUUAUUGUGUGUUUGUGUUAUGAAGUAUGAACCUAAAAGUUAAGUUUUUGUUUCUGAACCAGACUUUUUUGUUUAUGUAUUUUAAGACCUCUUGUUUUUAAGUUAUAUUAAGGUUUCUUAUCAGA